GCUCCUGUGGCAUAAUGGUAGUACAUUCCACUUCAUUAUGGAAAGGUUAAGGGUUCAAUUCCUUCCAGGGGCA
Non-coding RNA from Lasiosphaeria hispida, 73 nucleotides. Lineage: Eukaryota; Fungi; Ascomycota; Sordariomycetes; Sordariales; Lasiosphaeriaceae. The record is from the annotation of a GenBank genome assembly.